RNAcentral lists this ribosomal RNA (894 nucleotides) under Arthrobotrys musiformis. RNAcentral describes it as "LSU rRNA". It matches the Rfam family "Eukaryotic large subunit ribosomal RNA", at positions 52 to 966 of the family's 3401-position model. The record is from RNAcentral. Lineage: Eukaryota; Fungi; Ascomycota; Orbiliomycetes; Orbiliales; Orbiliaceae.
GGAGGAAAAGAAACCAACAGGGAUUGCCUCAGUAACGGCGAGUGAAGCGGCAACAGCUCAAAUUUGAAAUCUGGAGCCUUCGGCUUCCGAGUUGUAAUUUGAAGAGGAUGUUUCGGUGCGACCUGGGCCUAAGUUCCUUGGAACAGGACGUCAUGGAGGGUGAGAAUCCCGUACAUGGCUGCAGGUUUGCUUCUAUGUGAAACUCCUUCGAAGAGUCGAGUUGUUUGGGAAUGCAGCUCAAAAUGGGUGGUAAAUUUCAUCUAAAGCUAAAUAUUGGCGGGAGACCGAUAGCGCACAAGUAGAGUGAUCGAAAGAUGAAAAGCACUUUGAAAAGAGAGUUAAACAGUACGUGAAAUUGUUGAAAGGGAAGCGCUUGCAAUCAGACUCGCCUUCAGUUGAUCAGCCUUCCUUCUGGUUGGUGCACUCUGCUGUUGGCGGGCCAGCAUCAGUUGGGGCGGUGGGAUAAAGGCGGCAGGAAUGUGGCUCGCUUCGGUGAGUGUUAUAGCCUGCUGUGUCAUGCCACCAGUCCCGACUGAGGUCCGCGGUUCGCCUAGGAUGCUGGCUUAAUGGUUGUAAGCGACCCGUCUUGAAACACGGACCAAGGAGUCUAACAUCUAUGCGAGUCUUUGGGUGUAAAACCCAUGGGCGAAAUGAAAGUGAACGGAGGUGGGAGUCUUCGGAUGCACCAUCGACCGAUCCUGAUGUUCUCGGAUGGAUUUGAGUAUGAGCAUAGCUGUUGGGACCCGAAAGAUGGUGAACUAUGCCUGAAUAGGGUGAAGCCAGAGGAAACUCUGGUGGAGGCUCGCAGCGGUUCUGACGUGCAAAUCGAUCGUCAAAUUUGGGUAUAGGGGCGAAAGACUAAUCGAACCAUCUAGUAGCUGGUUCCUGCCGAAG